ACGCCACCCUACUACUACAAAUCACCGCCACCUCCAUCUCCUUCUCUGCCUCCACCAUACUACUACAAGUCUCCACCUCCUCCUUCACCGUCACCACCACGACCUUACUAUUAUAAGUCACCGCCACCUCCUUCUCCCUCGCCUCCACCACCUUAUUAUUACAAGUCUCCACCGCCACCUUCUUCUUCUCCCCUCCCACCAUACUACUACAAGUCCCCUCCUCCUCCUUCUCCCUCACAUCCAACGCCUUACUAUUAUAAGUCUCCACCACCACCGGCGAAAUCUCGGCUGCCACCCUACUACUAUAAGUCACCACCACCACCGGCUAAGUCUCCCCCUCCGCCAUACUACUACGUGUCUCCACCACCACCAGUAAAGUUUCCUCCUUCACCAUACUACUAUAAAUCUCCGCCGCCAC
This 418-nucleotide long non-coding RNA is filed under the name Phoenix dactylifera (date palm). Its description in RNAcentral is "long non-coding RNA (PDAC_LNC003938)". Lineage: Eukaryota; Viridiplantae; Streptophyta; Magnoliopsida; Arecales; Arecaceae. The record is from RNAcentral.